RNAcentral lists this transfer RNA (69 nucleotides) under Rattus norvegicus (Norway rat). It matches the Rfam family "tRNA". Rfam says of the family: Transfer RNA (tRNA) molecules are approximately 80 nucleotides in length. Lineage: Eukaryota; Metazoa; Chordata; Mammalia; Rodentia; Muridae. The record is from Rfam by way of RNAcentral.
GGGGAUUUAGCUCAGUGGUAGAGCGCUUGCCUCGCAAGCAUAAGGCCCUGGGUUCGGUCCCCAGCUCCG